UACGAAGGGGGCUAGCGAUGCUCGGAGUGACUGGGAGUAAAGGGCGCGUAGGGGGAAUGCACAGUCAGGCGAGAAAUUCCUGGGCUUAACCUGGGGACUGCGUCUGAGACGUGUGAUCUAGAGAUAGGAAGAGGGUCGUGGAAUUUCCAGUGUAGAGGUGAAAUUCGUAGAUAUUGGAAAGAACACCGGUGGCGAAGGCGGCGACCUGGUCCGUGACUGACGCUGAGGCGCGAAAGCGUGGGGAGCAAAUAGG
RNAcentral lists this ribosomal RNA (253 nucleotides) under uncultured bacterium. RNAcentral describes it as "partial 16S ribosomal RNA". It matches the Rfam family "Bacterial small subunit ribosomal RNA", at positions 524 to 776 of the family's 1533-position model. The record is from RNAcentral.